This 253-nucleotide ribosomal RNA is filed under the name uncultured bacterium. RNAcentral's name for it is "partial 16S ribosomal RNA". It matches the Rfam family "Bacterial small subunit ribosomal RNA", at positions 524 to 776 of the family's 1533-position model. The record is from RNAcentral.
UACGAAGGGGGCUAGCGUUGUUCGGAAUUACUGGGCGUAAAGGGCGCGUAGGCGGUGUGUCAAGUCAGGCGUGAAAGCCCCGGGCUCAACCUGGGAACCGCGCUUGAGACUGGCACGCUAGAGUUCGGGAGAGGAUGGUGGAAUUCCCAGUGUAGAGGUGAAAUUCGUAGAUAUUGGGAAGAACACCGGUGGCGAAGGCGGUUCUCUGGGCCUGUACUGACGCUGAGGAACGAAAGCGUGGGGAGCGAACAGG